This 366-nucleotide ribosomal RNA is filed under the name uncultured bacterium. Its description in RNAcentral is "bacterial SSU rRNA". It matches the Rfam family "Bacterial small subunit ribosomal RNA", at positions 28 to 395 of the family's 1533-position model. The record is from RNAcentral.
GACGAACGCUGGCGGCGUGCUUAACACAUGCAAGUCGAGCGGUAAGGCCCUUUCGGGGGUACACGAGCGGCGAACGGGUGAGUAACACGUGGGUGACCUGCCCUCAGCUCUGGGAUAAGCCUGGGAAACUGGGUCUAAUACUGGAUAUGACUCCACGGUGCAUGUCGUGGGGUGGAAAGCCUUGUGCGGCUGAGGAUGGGCCCGCGGCCUAUCAGCUUGUUGGUGGGGNGAUGGCCUACCAAGGCGACGACGGGUAGCCGGCCUGAGAGGGCGACCGGCCACACUGGGACUGAGACACGGCCCAGACUCCUACGGGAGGCAGCAGUGGGGAAUCUUGCGCAAUGGGCGAAAGCCUGACGCAGCGAC